CCCAACACAUUCACCUACCACUACAUCCACUCAUUACCACCACCCACUACAUCCUCUCCCUAGCCUAUAAAUACAUCCAUCCACCCUUCACCAUAAGAGACAUAUAUCAAUCCAAAACACACAUCAUCUACACAAUUCUCCACUCUUUGCCACAUUCAAGACAUCCUUCAUCCAAACACAUCCAUUCAUCUUCACAUCCAUUCCUCCAUACAAACAAACCUUCAAACAGUCACCAACACCUUGUGCCGUAGCAAAUGAAGGGAAGGAAAGUGCUUGGACGUGCUUGCUGUCCAACUUGGAUCGUUGGAGCGUUUAGGUGU
Molecule: long non-coding RNA, 320 nt
Filed under: Malus domestica (apple)
Lineage: Eukaryota; Viridiplantae; Streptophyta; Magnoliopsida; Rosales; Rosaceae
Description: long non-coding RNA (MDOM_LNC018654)
Source: RNAcentral